CAUCUACGCGCAAUCUUAUUAAUAGAUGCACAGAAGUCCCUGAUACUUCUAUAGAAUUAGCAUAAUACAAAUUAUGGAAAGGAAAAGAGCAUCUCAAAAUGAGGGGCUGAUGAAGUGGGUGAAAAGAAGUUGUAGAAUAAGAGCUCAGACCUUGUCAAUAGAGCUGAUACAUUAGUCGUCUAUCGAAUAGCGGAGACCUGUGGUGUUGGACGUUCCUUGGGUGAAUCAAGUCAACGUGGUGGAGAUGUUUUGGUCAAGUUGGCAUCUGGCCACAUGGGAAUUGCUGGGAUUCCUGUAGCAUUGCUUGCCUUUCUAAUAAACCUUUAGCAUUCAAUGGAACAAAGGAAAGUUCUAAUGCAGUAAUAACUACUUGUGGGCUCUCGAGAUGACCAUUGGUGUGUGCAUUGGUUCGCAAAAUGAGAACUUGGCGAAUCUGACUGCCUUGCUGCUGAGUGCUGUCUCAAUGUUGCGCCAUUUGUAAGUUCAAUGACAAAGCGGAGCAGAUUCAAAAUGCCAUUCUCAACACAACAGCAGAAGGGAAACAUCGUACCGCUGACCUUGGCGGCACUUCCACGACGACUGAUUUCACGGAAGCCAUUUGGGGUCAUCUUUGAAAUUUGCUUUAGUAUCGAGAGGGAUUGUUGUAUUUUCUUUUUACCCAUGCUCCAAGAUUUAUCUCAGUUUUUCUCUGGAAGAACCGAAGAGUAGUAAGAUUACAUCGGCUUGAUGGAAAAACACAUUUAAGUACGCAAGCUAGAUGCCAAAGACUAUGAAUGGGCAAUACCAGAUUCAAAGUUGCCUGA
Molecule: long non-coding RNA, 803 nt
Organism: Prosopis cineraria
Lineage: Eukaryota; Viridiplantae; Streptophyta; Magnoliopsida; Fabales; Fabaceae
Exons: 2
Source: RefSeq, a predicted model, not a curated record